This 77-nucleotide transfer RNA is filed under the name Clostridia bacterium. RNAcentral's name for it is "tRNA-Arg". It matches the Rfam family "tRNA". Rfam says of the family: Transfer RNA (tRNA) molecules are approximately 80 nucleotides in length. Their secondary structure includes four short double-helical elements and three loops (D, anti-codon, and T loops). Lineage: Bacteria; Bacillati; Bacillota; Clostridia. The record is from RNAcentral.
GUUCGUGUAGCUCAGUAGGAUAGAGCGGUCGCCUCCUAAGCGACAGGCCGUUGGUUCGACUCCAAUCACGAACGCCA